UGGUAGAAAAGUGCAGGGAUCCAAAAAUAGGUUCGCCACCGCACGGGCUGGUAUAAAAGUGCAGGGAUUUGCCCGCCUGAAGGGCCGGUAGACUGAUCCACUAAAAGGAUCUGCGCGACUGUAUAUUAAAUGUUUGUGUUUUUUGUGUGUUAAGAGUAAAUCAUUUUUAACAGCACAGUACGCUGCUGGAUUACUCUUUUGUUACUGUCAUUUUAUUUCCUGUCAGUAGCUAAAGUACUGGUGAGAAGGGAGAAAGGUCGUGUUUCAUCACGUAAAGCUGACACCGCUCCAGGAAUAUCUUGGAGUUGAAGGGCGUGUCAACUACCACUCCUAACUCUAAUACCAGAGACGGCUCUGCAGUAUUGUUGUAAUGGGUAACAAAGCUACAAAACUCACUGCUGACGAGCAGUGGCUAGA
Oreochromis niloticus (Nile tilapia) is the source of this 417-nucleotide long non-coding RNA. RefSeq lists it as uncharacterized. The transcript has 2 exons. The record is from RefSeq and is a predicted model, not a curated record. Lineage: Eukaryota; Metazoa; Chordata; Actinopteri; Cichliformes; Cichlidae.